RNAcentral lists this unclassified non-coding RNA (329 nucleotides) under soil metagenome. Its description in RNAcentral is "partial contains 5.8S ribosomal RNA, internal transcribed spacer 2, and large subunit ribosomal RNA". The stretch from base 1 to 120 matches the Rfam family "5.8S ribosomal RNA", at positions 35 to 154 of the family's 154-position model. The record is from RNAcentral.
GAUGAAGAACGCAGCGAAAUGCGAUAAGUAAUGUGAAUUGCAGAAUUCAGUGAAUCAUCGAAUCUUUGAACGCACAUUGCGCCCCCUGGUAUUCCGGGGAGCAUGCCUGUCCGAGCGUCAUUACAACCCUCAAGCUCAGCUUGGUGUUGGGCCCCGCCGCCCCGGCGGGCCCUAAAGUCAGUGGCGGUGCCGUCCGGCUCCGAGCGUAGUAAUUCUUCUCGCUCUGGAGGUCCGGUCGUGUGCUCGCCAGCAACCCCCAAUUUUUUUCAGGUUGACCUCGGAUCAGGUAGGGAUACCCGCUGAACUUAAGCAUAUCAAUAAGCGGAGGA